RNAcentral lists this microRNA precursor (104 nucleotides) under Chlorocebus sabaeus (green monkey). RNAcentral describes it as "miRNA (ENSCSAG00000021413.1)". Lineage: Eukaryota; Metazoa; Chordata; Mammalia; Primates; Cercopithecidae. The record is from RNAcentral.
UGGAUAGCUCACAAUCUGGUAUAAAUGUUAUCUCUCCAUUUAUAUGUGUGUGUGUGUGUGUAUGUAUAUACACACACACACACAUAUAUAUGUCUUCACAUAUA